Long non-coding RNA from Ornithodoros turicata, 100 nucleotides. RefSeq lists it as uncharacterized. Lineage: Eukaryota; Metazoa; Arthropoda; Arachnida; Ixodida; Argasidae. The transcript has 3 exons. The record is from RefSeq and is a predicted model, not a curated record.
GAGACUCGGAAAAAGUUUUCAGUAUUUUUAUAACUACAGAAUAGGACUGUGCAAAAAAUAUGCUUCAAGGCCUUCCAUAAAUCUGCCAGUGCAAUGACAU